Molecule: ribosomal RNA, 251 nt
Filed under: Clostridioides difficile
Lineage: Bacteria; Bacillati; Bacillota; Clostridia; Peptostreptococcales; Peptostreptococcaceae
Description: partial 23S ribosomal RNA
Rfam family: Bacterial large subunit ribosomal RNA
Source: RNAcentral
CAGAGUACCACGGGACACGUGAAACGCGGUGGGAAGCAGGAGGGACCACCCUCCAGGGCUAAAUACUACCUAGUGACCGAUAGCGUAUAGUACCGUGAGGGAAAGGUGAAAAGAACCCCGGGAGGGGAGUGAAAUAGAACCUGAAACCCUGCACUUACAAGCUGUGGAAGCACAUUUCUUGUGUGACCGCGUACUUUUUGUAGAACGGGCCAACGAGUUACGUUAAGUAGCAAGGUUAAGCACUUAAGGUG